This 253-nucleotide ribosomal RNA is filed under the name uncultured bacterium. RNAcentral describes it as "partial 16S ribosomal RNA". It matches the Rfam family "Bacterial small subunit ribosomal RNA", at positions 524 to 776 of the family's 1533-position model. The record is from RNAcentral.
UACGUAGGGUGCAAGCGUUGUCCGGAAUUACUGGGCGUAAAGGGCGCGUAGGCGGCACUGUUAGUCAGGCGUGAAAUUCCUGGGCUCAACCUGGGGACUGCGCUUGAUACGGCAGAGCUAGAGGAUGGAAGAGGCUCGCGGAAUUCCCAGUGUAGAGGUGAAAUUCGUAGAUAUUGGGAAGAACACCGGUGGCGAAGGCGGCGAGCUGGUCCAUUACUGACGCUGAGGCGCGACAGCGUGGGGAGCAAACAGG